Molecule: long non-coding RNA, 150 nt
Organism: Astyanax mexicanus (Mexican tetra)
Lineage: Eukaryota; Metazoa; Chordata; Actinopteri; Characiformes; Acestrorhamphidae
Exons: 2
Source: RefSeq, a predicted model, not a curated record
UAGACUGUCACUGAGAGGUGUGUGGAAGAUAGGCUGUUGGCAGACAAAGCUCAAACUUAGCGCCCUUGGAAGCAGAAGGAGUUUUCACGGUGUCAAAACGUCUGUGGUGAGAAGAGGAGAGAAAUAAAGUUGCACCAGUAGAAGCUCCGA